Tripterygium wilfordii is the source of this 877-nucleotide long non-coding RNA. RefSeq lists it as uncharacterized. The record is from RefSeq and is a predicted model, not a curated record. NCBI's taxonomy places the organism in Eukaryota, Viridiplantae, Streptophyta, Magnoliopsida, Celastrales, Celastraceae. The transcript has 3 exons.
AGUGAAACCGAGUUUGAACUUAUUGUACGAGUUCGCGAAUUCUUACAGAAGAUGUGAGGGCUUUGGUCGCAGAGUUUGUUCUUGGAGGAAGGAGCGUACUCUCUUUCUGGUCACUGCGUUCCCUGUCUUUACAUUGAGAAGAACUACUUCCCAAAGAGAGUUCACUCCAGUCAUAGAUGUGGCAGGGUUCCUCUGAUGACCAGAAUGCUAUGGCGUAAGCAUGGAGAGACUGGUUUCAAAUCCUGUGCAGCAUGGGAAAACCAAGCACAUUAAAGUCAAGUACCAUGCUAUUAGGGAAGCUGAACGUGAUGGUGAGAUUGAACCAAUGCACUGCAGCUCAGAUGAUCAGAUUGCUGAUAUUCUAACUAAAGCUCUUCCAAAGAAAAGAUUUGAAGCUCUGAAAGUUAAACUGGAGGUGACCAAACUUAACCUCAAGGAGGAGUGUUAGUAGGGUGAGGUUAGUUGAGUCAUUUGUGUCUUUGUUUUGUGUAUUAAGUCAAAUGUUGUUUACAGAGUUUGAAAAAUCAUCUUUCAUCUUGUGUUUGUAGUGUGACAAGUGGAUGGCUAUGAUGCUUCUUUUCUAGAAGCUUGUAUUAUACCUGUGUUUUGCUUUUAAGAAGUCUUGUAACUCGUUUUGUAAGAACUGUGAAAUUACUAAUGAAGUGUGUGUUUCCUGUGUACUGAAAACUUUGUAAGACUUGAUCUCUGUGUGUCAUCUAAGAGUGUUGCUGCUGUGAAGGAACUUGGUUGCAGGUUGUCAAGACUACAGUUUCUCAUCAGCUCCUGAAAUUACUUUUCAAUUGAAAAGCCAACACGUUUGGCAGAUAUCAUGUAUUUAGUUUAUGUCAUAUAUCACAAGACCUUGAUGAGGAGACUU